GAUGGCCUCGUUUAAUAUUAUUUCAUCAGCUUUUUCAGAAUGUUUUGAAGUAACAGAAGAAAUUAGGCGAUUGACAAUGGAGCUUCGAGCUAAAGCAGAAGAAGACGCGACAACUACAUUUGAUAUAUUCGAGCCUUUGAAUUAUCAAAUCGCUGAAAAGAACGACGCCAUUUUUUAUCGCAUACACAUUCAAACGAGUUAUCAUACAAAGAUUAUAAUCAUCUGUAAAGGGGAAAUGAGGAAUGACAAUGAUGACAAAUCUCAAGACGUUACCUUUUUGGAAAUCGAAGGAAUCUGAAAAUGAUCCCAGAGGCUCCCUAAUGAAGUCCGAACACUAUAUCAGUGAAAUUUUUCGAUUUACUCAUUCUUCCGUGUUAAUAAGCUGCA
This is a long non-coding RNA of Styela clava, 387 nucleotides long. RefSeq lists it as uncharacterized. The record is from RefSeq and is a predicted model, not a curated record. Lineage: Eukaryota; Metazoa; Chordata; Ascidiacea; Stolidobranchia; Styelidae.